UACGUAGGGUCCGAGCGUUGUCCGGAAUUAUUGGGCGUAAAGGGCUCGUAGGCGGUUUGUCGCGUCGGGAGUGAAAACACGGGGCUUAACCCCGUGCCUGCUUCCGAUACGGGCAGACUAGAGGUAUGCAGGGGAGAACGGAAUUCCUGGUGUAGCGGUGAAAUGCGCAGAUAUCAGGAGGAACGCCGGUGGCGAAGGCGGUUCUCUGGGCAUUACCUGACGCUGAGGAGCGAAAGUGUGGGGAGCGAACAGG
This 253-nucleotide ribosomal RNA is filed under the name uncultured bacterium. Its description in RNAcentral is "partial 16S ribosomal RNA". It matches the Rfam family "Bacterial small subunit ribosomal RNA", at positions 524 to 776 of the family's 1533-position model. The record is from RNAcentral.